RNAcentral lists this ribosomal RNA (440 nucleotides) under uncultured bacterium. RNAcentral's name for it is "partial 16S ribosomal RNA". It matches the Rfam family "Bacterial small subunit ribosomal RNA", at positions 338 to 795 of the family's 1533-position model. The record is from RNAcentral.
CCUACGGGAGGCAGCAGUGGGGGAUAUUGCUCAAUGGGGGGAACCCUGAAGCAGCGACGCCGCGUGGAUGAUGAAGCGUUUCGGCGUGUAAAGCCCUGUUAGUAGGGAAGAUAAUGACGGUACCUGACGAAUAAGCCCCGGCUAACUACGUGCCAGCAGCCGCGGUAAUACGGAGGGGGCAAGCGUUAUCCGGAUUCACUGGGAGUAAAGGGGGCGUAGGCGGGGAUGUAAGCCAGAGGUGAAAGCCCGUGGCUUAACUACAGUACUGCAUUUGAAACUGCGUCGCUGGAGUGCAGGAGAGGUAGGCGGAAUGCGUGGUGUAGCGGUGAAAUGCGUAGAUAUCAAGAGGAACACCGAUUGCGAAGGCGGCCUGCUGGACUACUACUGACGCUGAUGCACGAAAGCGUGGGGAGCAAACAGGAUUAGAUACCCCAGUAGUC